UUUAUUUGCUUACAAAAUAUAAUUAAUUAUACUAUUAAUGUUGGUUUUCCAACUACGACGAUAAACGAAUAUCGUAAUAACCAUUACGGACGUGGGGGCAGUACCCACCACCUCCACCAUUUAGAAUAUGGGGGUGAAAUAGAAUCGACGGGUGACUAAAAGCUAUUCUUUCGUUCGGGAUUGUUCCACCGUAACGGGCUAAACUUUAAAUGCUAACGAAAGUUACGCUAUUGCUGCAUAAUUAACUUAGGUUAAUUAUAGAAGCACGGUCUGGGGCACCGGGUAACAGAACGCCCCCUUA
RNAcentral lists this transfer-messenger RNA (301 nucleotides) under Candidatus Pelagibacter sp. It matches the Rfam family "Alphaproteobacteria transfer-messenger RNA". Rfam says of the family: Bacterial tmRNA, also known as 10Sa RNA or SsrA, is named for its dual tRNA and mRNA-like properties. Its role is to liberate the mRNA from a stalled ribosome. The record is from RNAcentral. Lineage: Bacteria; Pseudomonadati; Pseudomonadota; Alphaproteobacteria; Candidatus Pelagibacterales; Candidatus Pelagibacteraceae.